RNAcentral lists this ribosomal RNA (240 nucleotides) under uncultured bacterium. RNAcentral describes it as "partial 16S ribosomal RNA". It matches the Rfam family "Bacterial small subunit ribosomal RNA", at positions 100 to 334 of the family's 1533-position model. The record is from RNAcentral.
CCGGCACGGGUGAGUAACACGUAUGCAAUCCACCUGUAACAGGGGAGUAACCCGGAGAAAUCCGGACUAAUACCCAUAAUAUGGGCGCUCCGCAUGGAGAGCCCAUUAAAGAGAGCAAUUUUGGUUACAGACGAGCAUGCGCUCCAUUAGCCAGUUGGCGGGGUAACGGCCCACCAAAGCGACGAUGGAUAGGGGUUCUGAGAGGAAGGUCCCCCACAUUGGAACUGAGACACGGUCCAA